This 296-nucleotide non-coding RNA is filed under the name Selaginella kraussiana. The record is from RNAcentral. Lineage: Eukaryota; Viridiplantae; Streptophyta; Lycopodiopsida; Selaginellales; Selaginellaceae.
AUGGGGAAUGAGGGCUUGGGGUUGGGGACUUUCACGUGGGCCUGCGGGCCUUAUAACCCUAAACCGGUCGAAGUUGCGUUCGCGAACUUGCGGUCCGAAUGCACCAACUACAUUGGGAGUUCUUCUCCCGUCAAUUCUCUCCCAUUCCAAAACAAUAGAAUUGGCGGCGCAUUGUCCCCAAGGGCCCCCUCGCUCUCAUGUCAUUGUUGAUUCCGCAAGUUGGGGGUCUUGUAGGGUUUGCACGUAUCUUGGUACGCUGCAAUUCCCCAACCCCCAUCUGGUCCCCACAUUCUUUU